RNAcentral lists this ribosomal RNA (617 nucleotides) under uncultured bacterium. Its description in RNAcentral is "bacterial SSU rRNA". It matches the Rfam family "Bacterial small subunit ribosomal RNA", at positions 215 to 830 of the family's 1533-position model. The record is from RNAcentral.
CCGGACAGGGAUGGGCAUGCGGCGCAUUAGGCAGUAGGCGGGGUAACGGCCCACCUAACCGACGAUGCGUAGGGGUUCUGAGAGGAAGGUCCCCCACACUGGUACUGAGACACGGACCAGACUCCUACGGGAGGCAGCAGUGAGGAAUAUUGGUCAAUGGUCGGGAGACUGAACCAGCCAAGCCGCGUGAGGGAUGAAGGUACAGAGUAUCGUAAACCUCUUUUGUCAGGGAACAAAGGCGGGGACGUGUCCCCGGAUGAGUGUACCUGAAGAAAAAGCAUCGGCUAACUCCGUGCCAGCAGCCGCGGUAAUACGGAGGAUGCGAGCGUUAUCCGGAUUUAUUGGGUUUAAAGGGUGCGCAGGCGGUCUGUUAAGUCAGCGGUCAAAGCCCGGGGCUCAACCCCGGCCCGCCGUUGAAACUGGCAGUCUCGAGUUGGAGAGAAGUAUGCGGAAUGCGCGGUGUAGCGGUGAAAUGCAUAGAUAUCGCGCAGAACUCCGAUUGCGAAGGCAGCAUGCCGGCUCCACACUGACGCUGAGGCACGAAAGCGUGGGUAUCGAACAGGAUUAGAUACCCUGGUAGUCCACGCAGUAAACGAUGAAUGCUGGCUGUCCGGGGG